This 397-nucleotide ribosomal RNA is filed under the name uncultured bacterium. RNAcentral describes it as "bacterial SSU rRNA". It matches the Rfam family "Bacterial small subunit ribosomal RNA", at positions 28 to 396 of the family's 1533-position model. The record is from RNAcentral.
GAUGAACGCUGGCGGCGUGCUUAACACAUGCAAGUCGAGCGAAGCACUUUAUUACGAUUUCUUCGGAAUGACGAUUUGGUGACUGAGUGGCGGACGGGUGAGUAACGCGUGGGUAACCUGCCUUAUACAGGGGGAUAACAGUUGGAAACGGCUGCUAAUACCGCAUAAGCGCACAGGGUCGCAUGACCUGGUGUGAAAAAACUCCGGUGGUAUGAGAUGGACCCGCGUUGGAUUAGCUGGUUGGUGAGGUAACGGCCACCAAGGCGACGAUCCAUAGCCGACCUGAGAGGGUNACCGGCCACAUUGGGACUGAGACACGGGCCCAAAACUCCUAACGGGAGGCCAAGGCAAGUUGGGGGAAAUCUUCCGCAAUGGGCGCAAGCCUGACGGAGCAACG